Molecule: ribosomal RNA, 161 nt
Filed under: Clostridioides difficile
Lineage: Bacteria; Bacillati; Bacillota; Clostridia; Peptostreptococcales; Peptostreptococcaceae
Description: partial 23S ribosomal RNA
Rfam family: Bacterial large subunit ribosomal RNA
Source: RNAcentral
CGCUGAAAGCAUCUAAGCGCGAAGCCAACUUCAAGAUAAGAUUUCCCACCGCAAGGGUAAGACUCCAGAAAGACUAUCUGGUUGAUAGGUCGAAGGUGUAAGUGCAGCAAUGUAUUUAGCUUAUCGAUACUAAUAGGUCGAGGACUUGACCAAUAUUUAUU